GACGAACGCUGGCGGCGUGCUUAACACAUGCAAGUCGAACGGAAAGGCCCUGCUUUUGUGGGGUGCUCGAGUGGCGAACGGGUGAGUAACACGUGAGUAACCUGCCCUUGACUUUGGGAUAACUUCAGGAAACUGGGGCUAAUACCGGAUAGGAGCUCCUGCUGCAUGGUGGGGGUUGGAAAGUUUCGGCGGUUGGGGAUGGACUCGCGGCUUAUCAGCUUGUUGGUGGGGUAGUGGCUUACCAAGGCUUUGACGGGUAGCCGGCCUGAGAGGGUGACAGGCCACAUUGGGACUGAGAUACGGCCCAGACUCCUACGGGAGGCAGCAGUGGGGAAUAUUGCACAAUGGGCGGAAGCCUGAUGCAGCAACGCCGCGUGCGGGAUGACGGCCUUCGGGUUGUAACCCGCUUUCGCCUGUGACGAAGCGUGAGUGACGGUAAUGGGUAAAGAAGCACCGGCUAACUACGUG
This 468-nucleotide ribosomal RNA is filed under the name uncultured bacterium. RNAcentral's name for it is "partial 16S ribosomal RNA". It matches the Rfam family "Bacterial small subunit ribosomal RNA", at positions 28 to 507 of the family's 1533-position model. The record is from RNAcentral.